CCUUGGAAGGUUUAUAUAUGCUAUAUAUAUUUCAAAGUACACACAAACCGCCUGUUUGGCAGGUUGAGAAAAUAAGAAUACAUCUUGGGAAGGUCAUGAAGGAAAAACAAACACAAAGGAAACCAAGAGUUAUUUACAUUCAAGAAUUCAGUAGCCUUUAACAUCUCUAUAUACAUACAUACUCUCCCGAUAUAUGUACAGACUGCGACGGGAUCUGAAUGAAGCUUAUUCCAAACGCAACAGAAAGAUACAAAACCCCCCCUUGGUAAUUCACUUGACAAACGUUUACAGGUUGCAGAGCUUUUCUUCAUUUACAAAGGAAAUACUACACGCUGACAACUGGCAUCUGUGGGGAACUCGGAGUCCUUACGAGAGGUGUGUGUUCCCAAUGGACUGUGCAGAGAUUGGAGGAACAAACUGCAAACUUGCUGUGCAGAGAGGGGUUUAAUGGGAUGCAAUUGCAGUUACUGUGUCAGACACAUCUGAAGUAUGAAAUGAUUUAACAAGUCAAAGUUUAGUUGCUGUCAAGGGACAGCUUAAAAGAGAAAACCCCGAAUUUUAUCCCUUCGAUUCUCAAGUUAACUUAAAUCUGCAUCUUCCCCUUCUACAGCACAGUUCCAAAAGUCACGCAGCACAGAAGUUACUACUGGUUUACAUUUAGCUUUUCCCCUGUUAAGACACAUCUAUCCUUUAUAAAUUUGAUACCCAUUUCAGAUGGUGAUUUGUACAAAGCAGAUCAAUGCCCCACAAGGAAGAACAGAGAGACCAUAAUUUGUAUGACAUGACAGUCGGUCUCUCCUCUUUCCUCCCUCUGAGGAUGUUUGUCUUCUGAGCAGUGCUGCAGGAGGAUACUGCAGAGCUGUUCCUUAUCCCAUCCCCACUGCUAUUUAUAUCCCUUUUCUCCCCCAAGCUUUAUCAGCAGCUCAUACAAGGAACAAAAUACUACCCAAAAACCACACCCCAACCACCGAGCAGGAAUUUUCAAGAGAAAAUGUUUCUGUAGCUUGAAGGCUCUUUUCUUUUUGAUGUUAACCUUUAAGUUGUUAGAACACUCCCGAGCUGUGGGUGCAGGUGUGUUAGUAACUGAAUGACAAAGCCAAGGCAUGGAUGGUGGCGAGUAGCAGAGAGCAGGCAAAGGAGAGCAAGGAGGGGAACAGAUCUUAGGAAUGGGAACAGUUCUUAUGGAUCUUUUAAGUGCUGGUGGGGUUUUUCCCCCCAGGGGACACUAGUCCAUAGGAAUUUAAGCAGGUGUGAACAAACAGCUUUCAACUCCCAAAGCAGUGUGGCUUGGUUAUCC
Molecule: long non-coding RNA, 1297 nt
Filed under: Strigops habroptila (Kakapo)
Lineage: Eukaryota; Metazoa; Chordata; Aves; Psittaciformes; Psittacidae
Description: lncRNA (ENSSHBG00005008555.1)
Source: RNAcentral